Molecule: non-coding RNA, 491 nt
Organism: Paramormyrops kingsleyae
Lineage: Eukaryota; Metazoa; Chordata; Actinopteri; Osteoglossiformes; Mormyridae
Source: RefSeq, a predicted model, not a curated record
CACAUCUUGUCCCAAGUCCUCAGCAGCACUAACUUGCAUGUAGCUGUCAUCUCCUGCGACAACAAUGCCUUCUUCUGGAAGACCUCCUGAAGGAGCUGCCUGAAACGCUUCAGAGGAGCUGCCACUCAUUUCAUAGGUCAAUCACUCGACGUGGCCUCUUACGUCCAACAUAAGAUGUGGGCUUUGCACGCUUGGGGACCAUAAUGAAAAAAAAAAGAGAUUAAAUGAAGCACAAGGGAAAACAAUGCAAUCAAGAGACACGGAAGAAGAGGAGGAGCCAUAUCAGACUUUGAGAGGACAUACUGGGAGGACGGCGGAGAUAUAGGUUCAUGCAUGAGUAUUUUGCACGUCAACAGUCCUAUCUGAUUACAGUGGUACCUCAGAACUCGAAAUUAAUCCGUUCAGAACUCCGGAUCGAAUCCUAAAAAGUUCAAGUUCUGAUCGACUUUUCCCCAUAAGAAAAAAUGGAAAACCAAUUAAUUGGUUCCCGG